GUGCUCACUUCAGCAGCAUAUAUACUAAAAUUCGAAUGAUAAAGAGAAGAUUAGCAUGGCACAUGUCCAAGGAUGACAUGCAAAUUUGAAAAAGAUAAUUAUUUCCA
Suricata suricatta (meerkat) is the source of this 107-nucleotide small nuclear RNA. The record is from Ensembl. Lineage: Eukaryota; Metazoa; Chordata; Mammalia; Carnivora; Herpestidae.